AGCAGCAUGGCUUAGUGGAAAGAGCCCGGGCUUGGGAGUCACAGGUUGUGGGUUCUAAUCCCUCUUCUGCCA
This 72-nucleotide transfer RNA is filed under the name Ornithorhynchus anatinus (platypus). It matches the Rfam family "tRNA". From Rfam's summary of the family: Transfer RNA (tRNA) molecules are approximately 80 nucleotides in length. The record is from Rfam by way of RNAcentral. Lineage: Eukaryota; Metazoa; Chordata; Mammalia; Monotremata; Ornithorhynchidae.